This 481-nucleotide ribosomal RNA is filed under the name uncultured bacterium. RNAcentral's name for it is "partial 16S ribosomal RNA". It matches the Rfam family "Bacterial small subunit ribosomal RNA", at positions 28 to 507 of the family's 1533-position model. The record is from RNAcentral.
GAUGAACGCUGGCGGCGUGCUUAACACAUGCAAGUCGAACGAAGCACUUUAUUUGAUUUCCUUCGGGACUGAUUAUUUUGUGACUGAGUGGCGGACGGGUGAGUAACGCGUGGGUAACCUGCCUUGUACAGGGGGAUAACAGUUGGAAACGGCUGCUAAUACCGCAUAAGCGCACGGCAUCGCAUGAUGCAGUGUGAAAAACUCCGGUGGUAUACGAUGGACCCGCGUUGGAUUAGCUAGUUGGUGAGGUAACGGCCCACCAAGGCGACGAUCCAUAGCCGACAUGAGAGGGUGACCGGCCACAUUGGGACUGAGACACGGCCCAAACUCCUACGGGAGGCAGCAGUGGGGAAUAUUGCAAAAUGGGCGAAAGCCUGAUGCAGCGACGCCGCGUGAGCGAAGAGGUAUUUCGGUAUGUAAAGCUCUAUCAGCAGGGAAGAUAAUGACGGUACCUGACUAAGAAGCACCGGCUAAAUACGUG